RNAcentral lists this ribosomal RNA (435 nucleotides) under uncultured bacterium. RNAcentral describes it as "partial 16S ribosomal RNA". It matches the Rfam family "Bacterial small subunit ribosomal RNA", at positions 29 to 507 of the family's 1533-position model. The record is from RNAcentral.
AGCGAACGCUGGCGGCAGGCUUAACACAUGCAAGUCGAGCGGGCAUAGCAAUAUGUCAGCGGCAGACGGGUGAGUAACGCGUGGGAACGUACCUUUAGGUUCGGAACAACUGAGGGAAACUUCAGCUAAUACCGGAUAAGCCCUUACGGGGAAAGAUUUAUCGCCGAAAGAUCGGCCCGCGUCUGAUUAGCUAGUUGGUGAGGUAAUGGCUCACCAAGGCGACGAUCAGUAGCUGGUCUGAGAGGAUGAUCAGCCACAUUGGGACUGAGACACGGCCCAAACUCCUACGGGAGGCAGCAGUGGGGAAUAUUGGACAAUGGGCGCAAGCCUGAUCCAGCCAUGCCGCGUGAGUGAUGAAGGCCCUAGGGUUGUAAAGCUCUUUUGUGCGGGAAGAUAAUGACGGUACCGCAAGAAUAAGCCCCGGCUAACUUCGUG